GACGAACGCUGGCGGCGUGCUUAACACAUGCAAGUCGAACGAGAAUUUAUGGAACAAGGAUUCGUCCAAGUGAAAUAGAGGACAGUGGCGGACGGGUGAGUAACGCGUGAGGAACCUGCCUUUCAGAGGGGGACAACAGUUGGAAACGACUGCUAAUACCGCAUGACAUAUAGAUGUCGCAUGGCAUUUAUAUCAAAGAUUUAUCGCUGAAGGAUGGCCUCGCGUCUGAUUAGCUAGUUGGUGAGGUAACGGCCCACCAAGGCGACGAUCAGUAGCCGGACUGAGAGGUUGAACGGCCACAUUGGGACUGAGAUACGGCCCAGACUCCUACGGGAGGCAGCAGUGGGGAAUAUUGGGCAAUGGGCGCAAGCCUGACCCAGCAACGCCGCGUGAAGGAAGAAGGCUUUCGGGUUGUAAACUUCUUUUGUCAGGGACGAGUAGAAGACGGUA
Molecule: ribosomal RNA, 450 nt
Filed under: uncultured bacterium
Lineage: Bacteria
Description: bacterial SSU rRNA
Rfam family: Bacterial small subunit ribosomal RNA
Source: RNAcentral